GACGAACGCUGGCGGCGUGCUUAACACAUGCAAGUCGAACGAAGAGCGAUGGAAGCUUGCUUCUAUCAAUCUUAGUGGCGAACGGGUGAGUAACGCGUAAUCAACCUGCCCUUCAGAGGGGGACAACAGUUGGAAACGACUGCUAAUACCGCAUACGAUCUAAUCUCGGCAUCGAGGAUAGAUGAAAGGUGGCCUCUACAUGUAAGCUAUCACUGAAGGAGGGGAUUGCGUCUGAUUAGCUAGUUGGAGGGGUAACGGCCCACCAAGGCGAUGAUCAGUAGCCGGUCUGAGAGGAUGAACGGCCACAUUGGGACUGAGACACGGCCCAGACUCCUACGGGAGGCAGCAGUGGGGAAUCGUCCGCAAUGGACGAAAGUCUGACGGAGCAACGCCGCGUGAGUGAUGACGGCCUUCGGGUUGUAAAGCUCGGUUAAUCGGGACGAAAGGCCUUCUUGCGAAUAGUGAGAAGGAUUGACGGUACCGGAAUAGAAAGCCACGGCUAACUACGUG
This 510-nucleotide ribosomal RNA is filed under the name uncultured bacterium. Its description in RNAcentral is "partial 16S ribosomal RNA". It matches the Rfam family "Bacterial small subunit ribosomal RNA", at positions 28 to 507 of the family's 1533-position model. The record is from RNAcentral.